CGAACGGCAGCGUGUCUCCUGUGUUCACUUUCUCUCCUGUUUUACAGAGCCCUUUCCACAUCCUUUCUGAGCAUGCGCAGAGAAUGAAAAAAAUCUUCGCGCAUACGCAUUCGCCUUCUUCAUCUACGCCACAGUGUGCUUUGGCCACGUGUCUGGAAAGAGGGAUUAAUCACGAUUCAUCCGCUGGAGUUAAGUAUCAAGUUAGGAGAACCACUGCUUGCUUAGCUUCGCCUGUGUGAGUGUGUCAAGCAGGCGACCUCUGAAGAGUUCCCGAAUCGAAGUGAAGUGUGAAUUCAUCCUUCAAGCUGUGAUUAUAUACCUGAAUGAGAAGCCUCAAAAUAUCAUCAAAGAGUACAUGGAUUUCAACGUGAUGGAAGCUGAAGAGCUCGAAAGGAUGGAUUUGGGGUGUUUAUAAAAUAAUCCACGAAGGAGCACAGCCCGAUGACUCCCUUGAAGAUGUUGGCAUCAUUAUCGAGAGAUGCACCGUCUUGCAGGAUCUUCACGAUGUGGCGAGCAGGAUCGUAAUCUGGCUACGCGCCCAUCAUAGUGGGGCCUGUAACACAUGCAACAUGCAGCACCUGUACAUAAAAGGCCAAAGCAGUCUGUACUUCCUCAGGAGGCUGAGGUCCUUCAACAUCUGCAGGAAGCUCCUGAGGAUGUUUUAUCAGUUGGGACUGUUUGCAAACAUCUCAGAGAGAGGAGACACCAGCAUCUGAACAGAGACUCAAACCAGCAACCUGCAGGUCCCUGCUUGGCUGCUCCAGUUUUCUCCUCACUCAUGUUGCCCACCAGUGAUUUCUAGCUGCCCACCCACACAGCAGGCUAGAAUAUGCGCUGAGCCUCAGCACCAUGGUUGCAAUACUUGGACAUGUUUUCUUUAUUAAAUAAUGAACCAGACCCCAAAAAGUAAACAGCUGUUAUUGCUAGGCAACGGGAGCAGCAUUUGGUGAUGCAGCACCUGACAUUCCUGACCAUGUGGGCGGAGCAUGCGUGAAAUGGAAUGUUUAGUAGAACUGUGCAACACAAGCACUUAGUUACGGCAUUUUUCAUUGUAUCCAGACACAGUUAGAGACACAUCUACAGCAGCAUCUCUGUGCAGGACAAACGACAGUUGAAGAUAUAAAACAUCAAAAACUUCACUUCUCUACAGUACGUUGGUUCCUUUGUUUAAAAGGCCAAAAUGAAUCAAGGGAGAUCGAGAAGAGGAUUGGCGAGUGCUUCACCAUACAGUACAGUGAAGUCUGAGCUGACUAACCUACGAGAGGAAUUUCAAAUAAUACAGGCUGAAAAUGUCAAAUUAAAAGAAGAGGCAGAAAAAUCAAGAGGAGAAGCUAAAAAUUCAAAGUUUGAAACUGAAGUAGUAUUGCAGGAAUUACUGCAUGUGGGUCUAAAACUUAAAGGAGAGAAGAUGGAAAAACAACGGGCAGAAAAUGAGAAUGAAAAUAUAAAGAAAGAACUGUUGGAAGCUGAAAAAGCAUUGGAGGAAGAGAAAACCACAGCACAAGAAGCCAAAAAUAAAUAUCAAACUGCAAAGAAGGAGGCAGAAAAUGUGAUGCAGGAAUUACAGGAGGUGCAGAAAGAUUUUGAAAAGGAAAAGAGGAAAAUGCAGUUGGCAACACAAGAAGCUGAAAAUGUAAUGGCUGAAGCUGAAAUAGUUAGGAAGGAAUUCCUGCAUGUAAAGCAACAACUUGAAGAGGAGAAAAAACGUAAACAUGAGGCAGAAAAUGAGAUUGAAAAUAUGAAGAAAGAAUUGUUGGAAGCUCAAAAAGUGUUGGAGGAAGAGAAAAUGAAAAUACAGGAAGCAAAGAAAGAAAUGGAAAAUACAAAUAGUUACACUCAAAACAUGAAGAAGAAGUUGCUGGAAACACAGGAAGCAAUAGAAAAAGAGACACGUGGAAAAUGGGAGGCAAAACAGGAAAGUGAAACUCUGAAGAAGGAACUGAUGAAAGUGCAAGAAGAACUUGCAGAAGAGAAAACUGAGGUGAAGGUAUUCAAGAAAGAAAUGACAGGCUCUGCGAGGACCAAGAAAGACUGCAAAGAUGCACUUAAAGAAAUACGAAAGCACAAAAAGGAAGCUAAAGAGCUCCUCAAACAGAAAGUGAAACUGGCCAAACGGCAGCUGAAAGAAAAAUUUAAAGACGCCGAGGAGCAGCUAAACAAAACGUUGAAAGAGCUGAAGGCAAAAGAAAAAGAAAAGAAAGCCGAGGAGACGAGGGGAUUCUGGAGCAGACUGCUGAGAAAGAACUGACCCAGCAGCAUCAAGUUUAAGGAGAUCAACAGUUUCGUCCUCCUUCCCCCUCUCUCCACCUUUCUUUCACCCCAUCCUUCUUCUUCUCUCUCUC
This is a long non-coding RNA of Oreochromis aureus, 2342 nucleotides long. The record is from Ensembl. Lineage: Eukaryota; Metazoa; Chordata; Actinopteri; Cichliformes; Cichlidae.